RNAcentral lists this ribosomal RNA (37 nucleotides) under Wrightia arborea. Its description in RNAcentral is "partial 28S ribosomal RNA". Lineage: Eukaryota; Viridiplantae; Streptophyta; Magnoliopsida; Gentianales; Apocynaceae. The record is from RNAcentral.
CGACCCCAGGUCAGGCGGGGCUACCAACUGAGUUUAA